This 403-nucleotide ribosomal RNA is filed under the name uncultured Perkinsidae. Its description in RNAcentral is "partial small subunit ribosomal RNA". It matches the Rfam family "Eukaryotic small subunit ribosomal RNA", at positions 30 to 432 of the family's 1831-position model. The record is from RNAcentral. Lineage: Eukaryota; Perkinsozoa; Perkinsida; Perkinsidae.
GCUUGUCUCAAAGAUUAAGCCAUGCAUGUCUUAGUGUAAAUAACUCUUAUGAAACUGCGAAUGGCUCAUUAAAUCAGUUAUCAAAUACGUGAUGGUCGCCUACUACAUGGAUAACCGUAGUAAUUCUAGAGCUAAUACAUGCGUCAAUGCCCGACUUCACGGAAGGGUUGCAUUUAUUAGAUACAAAACCGACCCGAGGUUCGCCUCGGAACCGUUGGUGAUUCAUAAUAACUAAGCGAAUCGCAUAGGCUUGCCUGGCGAUGGAUCUUUCAAGUUUCUGACCUAUCAGCUAUCGACGGUAGGGUAUUGGCCUACCGUGGCUAUGACGGGUAACGGAGAAUCAGGGUUCGAUUCCGGAGAGGGAGCCUGAGAAACGGCUACCACAUCUAAGGAAGGCAGCAGG